UUUUGAUUAAACGAUGACUGUCACGUGUCAAGUUCUGAUUGAAUGUUGAUUCUAUGGACAAUGAAAAUGUAUUGUUGUUUUCCGCGUCCAAUCAGAAUGUGGCAUGUGACAGUUAGUAUUC
Molecule: non-coding RNA, 121 nt
Organism: Glycine max (soybean)
Lineage: Eukaryota; Viridiplantae; Streptophyta; Magnoliopsida; Fabales; Fabaceae
Source: Rfam